CCUUAGUUCUCUUUUCUUGGAAUUUGAAUCCUUCACUCAACUUAGGAUAUUGGUUAGCGUGCAUUCGUUUAUUUGGUUAGUAAUGUUAGCAUUCUUUGGUGCUCGUUCCAUAAUAAAGGCCCUUUUCUUGAAUUUUGUAGUUUCAUUUUUUCUUUCUUUUCUAUUUUCUUUUUCUUUCUUUCUUUUUCUUUUCUUUCUUUUUCUUUUCUUUCUUUUUCUUUUCCUCUUUUUUCUUGGUUUGUUUUCAUUUUAGGUCUUGCCUUGAUUGUAUUUUUGGAAGAGUUAUAGGUGAUUCUCUUUGGAAACCCUUGCGAGAUCCCACUCGCCCUCAUGAGCGAUUGUGGGGUUUAAAGAGCUUGUUGCAUGCGCUUAAACAUUAUUGGUAAAAUGCAGACCCGCAUUCUGAAUUCGAUUCACACCGAAUUAACCUCUUUACUAGUCCUGCCCAUUAUAUAGUACUUUUAGAAAACAACACAACAAAAACUAAAAUUGGAAAAUUGUCAUGGAACAUCCCUUCCCAAGCAAGAGAUAGACUUGUAUCUUCUAUUUCACAAUGAUUCAGUUAUUCCACAAAUCAGAUAAGGGUUCUUGGGUUGAUGGUUGAUGUAAGAGUUUGUUCUGGUUGAGUCUAGAAGUUAUUACAUACUUGCAUUUCAUAACAAGGUUGCAGCUAACAAUCAUAUAUAUACACCUUAAAUUUCUAGGACGUGAAGGCACCACUUCAAAUUACAUGUAAUGAUAACCCACUCUCGUUCCGUUUUAUUUCUAAAACAAUCAAUCAACAAUUAACCACUUGAGGAGCUGGUUUAAAUAAAGACUACACCACAAUAAUAAAUUUGUUAUUUUGAAAUGUAAACACCUAUUAUUUGAAUAAAAAUAUGUCGUAUAGUUGUGUUAUUGUUGUUGUUGUGCCCAGAUUGGUGUGAGCAGUUUGGUGUCUGCUAGUCUGUUUUGCAGACUAAUGGGGUGUUUAUGGAUGCUGGCUUCAGCUGCAGGUUUAAAAGGGGUGAUGUUGAAUCACUAUUUUGUACAAUGUGUAUGUUUUUCUUUUUUGUCUUUGUUGACUGUUAGAUUGUUUUCUAGGGGGCGUUUUUUUGUUCAGUUCUAGUUUCGUAGGUUAGUUGGUGUUUGGUUGUGUUUUUGAUGGGUUGGUGGUUUGUUCCCACCUUUUACAUGCAUUAUUUGGUUCUAUUCUUAAUAUAUGCUUAUUAACCAAAUUUUUUUCAUGUAUAUUUAUUUUGGGUCUUUGAGAUGAUCUUGGUAAUUAUUGGCAAGUGCAAAUAGAUUGGGUUGGAUGAUACAAUAAUUCUCCAAGAUGACACACGACCUUUCUUUCUUUGACUGAUCUUUAAGUCUUUUUAUUUUUGAAUAUAUUUUUUGAUGUUGUAUUUCAGUCAUAAUUCAUAUACAAAUUAUGCUUAAAUGUCUCCAAAGUAUUUUUCUCACUCUCCUUCUCAUCCGCCUCCGCCAUUGGCAGCAGAAUCCGUAUGGGCUACCUCCACCACAACAACCGCGUCCUCCGUCGUAUACAUGAAAUCGCACCAACCUUAUCCUCCGCUACCUCUCCCUUCCCAAGUACAAUCACUCCUUCCUCCAGAAUCAAGCAUUGGGCAUAAUAAUGGGAAAGAUCUCAUUGGUACUGAUGGAUUCAUCACUGGAAGGAAAAUAUGUAGAUGAGGAUGAUGCUAUAAUGAUUGAAUUAGCAUCAAAAUGCCUUCAGUAUGAAGCCAGGGAUCGACCUGACAUCAAAUUCCUUUUUACAGCAUUAGAUCCCUUGCAAAAAGAGGAAAAUAUUGGAGAAUGAUGGGAAAUGAGUGGAAAUAUGCUCGAAUGAGGCCCGUGCGAUCGCACGGGAAUUUUGUGUGUUCGCGCGGGUCAGCAGACUUGGUCCUGAAGUCAAGCUGACCGUGCGAUCGAAUUCAAGAAGUAUGCGGUCGCACAAAAUAGCAAAUACAAUGCAGGAACUUUUCAGAAUUUCGUGCGCUCGCACCAGCAUUCAGCCCGCUCGCACUGAUUCUUUGUGUGCUCGCACGGAAUUUUCGUGCGAGCACAUGAAGAAAUUUAGAUAUUUGGCUAUCUCAAGGCCGUGCGCUCGCACGGAAAUGGAGCCCGUUCGCACGGUGCGAAGAAGAGAAUCGUCGCUAAGAACGAUCGCACAGAGCUGGGGCACGUUCGCACCGAUGAGAUGUCGUAUAAAUAGAUUUUUCGUUUUAUUAAUGAACAAUGAAUUCCAGAAUUAGAUUUUCAUCAAGUUUUAGAAAGGUUUCUCUUCAAGCUUAGUUUUCUAGAUAGAUAAACUCCAUUGCUUUGAAGCUUCAAGUUGUAAUUUCUUCAACUCUUUCAAUUCCUUGCAAUUUUAAUUCAAAUUCUUAGUUCUUUGUUCUUGCUA
This is an RNA transcript of Spinacia oleracea (spinach), 2389 nucleotides long. It is a transcript of the gene named serine/threonine-protein kinase BSK2, with no coding region annotated. The record is from RefSeq and is a predicted model, not a curated record. The transcript is spliced from 3 exons. NCBI's taxonomy places the organism in Eukaryota, Viridiplantae, Streptophyta, Magnoliopsida, Caryophyllales, Amaranthaceae.